Molecule: ribosomal RNA, 406 nt
Filed under: uncultured bacterium
Lineage: Bacteria
Description: partial 16S ribosomal RNA
Rfam family: Bacterial small subunit ribosomal RNA
Source: RNAcentral
GAUGAACGCUGACAGACUGCUUAACACAUCAGCAAUUGAUUGGUGGCGGCCGGGUGAGUAACGCGUAAAGAACUUGCCUCACCGCUAGGGACAACAUUUGGAAACGAAUGCUAAUACCUACUACUGUGAGAGAGCUUUGCGUCCCAUUAGCUAGUUGGAGAGGUAACGGCUCACCAAGGCGAUGAUGGGUAGCCGGCCUGAGAGGGUGAUCGGCCACAAGAGGACUGAGACACGGCCCUUACACCUACGGGAGGCAGCAGUGGGGAAUAUUGGACAAUGGACCAGAGUCUGAUCCAGCAAUACGGUGUGAACGAUGAAGAUUUCGGAAUGUAAAGGGCUGUCAGUUGGGAAGCGGUACCAACAGAAGAAGUGACGGCUAAAUACGUGCCAGCCGCCGCGGUAAUUC